RNAcentral lists this ribosomal RNA (253 nucleotides) under uncultured prokaryote. RNAcentral describes it as "partial 16S ribosomal RNA". It matches the Rfam family "Bacterial small subunit ribosomal RNA", at positions 525 to 777 of the family's 1533-position model. The record is from RNAcentral.
ACAGAGGGUGCGAGCGUUGUCCGGAAUCACUGGGCGUAAAGCGCACGUAGGCGGCUUUGUAAGUUAGAGGUGAAAGCCCGGAGCUCAACUCCGGAAUUGCCUUUAAGACUGCAUCGCUAGAAUUGUGGAGAGGUGAGUGGAAUUCCGAGUGUAGAGGUGAAAUUCGUAGAUAUUCGGAAGAACACCAGUGGCGAAGGCGACUCACUGGACACAUAUUGACGCUGAGGUGCGAAAGCGUGGGGAGCAAACAGGA